RNAcentral lists this transfer RNA (67 nucleotides) under Pareas formosensis (Formosa slug snake). RNAcentral describes it as "tRNA-Ser". It matches the Rfam family "tRNA". From Rfam's summary of the family: Transfer RNA (tRNA) molecules are approximately 80 nucleotides in length. Their secondary structure includes four short double-helical elements and three loops (D, anti-codon, and T loops). Further hydrogen bonds mediate the characteristic L-shaped molecular structure. tRNAs have two regions of fundamental functional importance: the anti-codon, which is responsible for specific mRNA codon recognition, and the 3' end, to which the tRNAs corresponding amino acid is attached (by aminoacyl-tRNA synthetases). tRNAs cope with the degeneracy of the genetic code in two manners: having more than one tRNA (with a specific anti-codon) for a particular amino acid; and 'wobble' base-pairing, i.e. permitting non-standard base-pairing at the 3rd anti-codon position. Lineage: Eukaryota; Metazoa; Chordata; Lepidosauria; Squamata; Pareidae. The record is from RNAcentral.
GGGAAAAAAGCAUAAUAUGCGAUUGACUUGAAAUCAAUAGAUGGCAGUUAAAUUCUGUCUUUUCUCG